Molecule: long non-coding RNA, 1066 nt
Organism: Strigops habroptila (Kakapo)
Lineage: Eukaryota; Metazoa; Chordata; Aves; Psittaciformes; Psittacidae
Exons: 7
Source: RefSeq, a predicted model, not a curated record
AUUUUGUCACCGGGAGCGGCAGCGAUGAAGGGCUGCAGCACCUCCUCGGCGAUGGUUCUCCAAGCAGCGACCGCUCCCGCCGCCCCAUUUAGAGCACCCGAGGCGGCAGCUGCUUAAGGAGCUCACGGGGCUUGCAGUGCUGUCCUGCUGCUCUGCUUCCUCGCAGUCCGGCAUUGCGUACGCUGCCUGCGUACCAAGAGCAGCCCAGCAGCUCGAGUGUUUCCGACCUUCGCAUUUGACUACUUUAGAAGAUUUUUAGAAGUUGAAAGUAGAAACUCAGCAGCAUUUUGAUAGUCCCUAAAAUUGGACAGAUUUUUUCCCUUUUCCUUUUUUUUUUUAUUAACACAAAGUAUAAGUUUUGUUAAAAUAAUUUUGUUUGAAAGGGCAUCUCAUGACUCUUUCAAUGAUGUUUUGCAGGGUGUGUUUGCCAAAUCUUUUUGAGUAGAAUUACAUUGUUGUGCAGAUCUGUGGGGAGGUAGCGUAACCUUCAGCUACCCCUUUGAAAUUUUUGUGUGAAUGAAAAGUAGAGAAAAAAAUGUGUUUAAAGAGAAGAUCCGUGUGCAGCAUUUCACAGGGUGACAUUUCCAUGAUGGGAUCCUGAACUGAAGCAAAACCAAAAGCUUCCACUCCAAAGUGAACAAAAUGUGAAACUAUCAAAUGAAAUAAAACCUGGUGGCUGUUUGUAGUCAAGGAAGGCUGAACAAGGUCCAUCAAUCAUCACAACUAUCGUCAAGAGGAUUACAGAGACAAUGCAGGAAGGGUGAAGUCUAUACCAAAACAACCCAAAGCUGCCUUGGAAGGAUACUGUAACAUGGGAAGAUGUGCAAAAAUACUUUAUGGAGGAUACGACUGAAUCUUUAUAGUUGUCUGUGUCUGGUUGUAAGGAUUCAGAGGAGAGAAGCUAAGCAUGCUGCUGGAAACUGAGCAGAGACAGGGAGAUGCUCCAUCCUGACCAGUUAGGUUUUACUAAGGAGGGCAGCCCAUCAAGUACAGACUGGAGCAUCUUUGUUAUGAUUAUCUUUGGCUGAUCUGGUAUAUCACACACUGCUCAGCAAGCAUCAUUAAG